Molecule: ribosomal RNA, 793 nt
Filed under: uncultured bacterium
Lineage: Bacteria
Description: bacterial SSU rRNA
Rfam family: Bacterial small subunit ribosomal RNA
Source: RNAcentral
AGAGUUUGAUCAUGGCUCAGAUUGAACGCUGGCGGCAUGCCUUACACAUGCAAGUCGAACGGUAACAGGUCUUCGGAUGCUGACGAGUGGCGAACGGGUGAGUAAUACAUCGGAACGUGCCCGAUCGUGGGGGAUAACGGAGCGAAAGCUUUGCUAAUACCGCAUACGAUCUACGGAUGAAAGCAGGGGACCGCAAGGCCUUGCGCGGACGGAGCGGCCGAUGGCAGAUUAGGUAGUUGGUGGGAUAAAAGCUUACCAAGCCGACGAUCUGUAGCUGGUCUGAGAGGACGACCAGCCACACUGGGACUGAGACACGGCCCAGACUCCUACGGGAGGCAGCAGUGGGGAAUUUUGGACAAUGGGCGAAAGCCUGAUCCAGCCAUGCCGCGUGCAGGAUGAAGGCCUUCGGGUUGUAAACUGCUUUUGUACGGAACGAAAAGACUCCUUCUAAUAAAGGGGGUCCAUGACGGUACCGUAAGAAUAAGCACCGGCUAACUACGUGCCAGCAGCCGCGGUAAUACGUAGGGUGCAAGCGUUAAUCGGAAUUACUGGGCGUAAAGCGUGCGCAGGCGGUUAUAUAAGACAGAUGUGAAAUCCCCGGGCUCAACCUGGGAACUGCAUUUGUGACUGUAUAGCUAGAGUACGGUAGAGGGGGAUGGAAUUCCGCGUGUAGCAGUGAAAUGCGUAGAUAUGCGGAGGAACACCGAUGGCGAAGGCAAUCCCCUGGACCUGUACUGACGCUCAUGCACGAAAGCGUGGGGAGCAAACAGGAUUAGAUACCCCGGUAGUCCAA